CAAAGAUGAUCAUUGAUGCUAGGAGUUCGGAUAAGAUAGCGCAUCCACGGAGAUGGUGGAUCAGUUGGGGUUGAAGCCCUUUUUAGUAAGGGCCUCAUCCAGAGCCCUAUCGAAUCAGACACCUCCUCGUAGGAUAGAUCCUCCUGAGUAAAAGAGACUCGUGAGCCAAGACAUGAGAGGAAUCCGAGUUGUACUUGCGUAGCAUGGACACAUGGAACACAUUAUGGACCCUAGAAAGUUCUGGAGGUAGUGUCAGUCUGUAGGCUGCUGUGCCAAUUUUGUCUAAGAUUUCAAGUGGCCCAAUAAACUAGGGAUUUAGUUUUUCCUCUUGCCAAACCUAUUGAUUCCCUUGAACGGAGUGAUCGUAAAGAACAUCUUAUUACCUUUCUCAAAUUCCAAAUCCCUUUUUUCGGUAUCCGCAUAACUCUUUUGCCUACUCUAAGCCGUCUGGAUAUUCUUCCUGAUCUUAAUUAUUUUAGUUGUAGUCUCCUUCAUAAGAUCUGGACAAAAUAAUCUUCUAUCACGCACCUCUUUUCAACAGAUCGGUGAUCUGUAUGGGCGGCCAUACAACGCCUCGUACGGAGCCAUGCUAAUACUUGCUUGGUACCUGUUAUUGUAGGCGAACUCUAUUAGGGGUCCCAAUAGCCCCCAAAGUUAAGAACACAAGCUUGAAGCAUAUUCUUUAGUGUACGGAUUGUCCUUUUUGAUUGUCCAU
Molecule: long non-coding RNA, 715 nt
Filed under: Carica papaya (papaya)
Lineage: Eukaryota; Viridiplantae; Streptophyta; Magnoliopsida; Brassicales; Caricaceae
Description: long non-coding RNA (CPAP_LNC013012)
Source: RNAcentral